This 776-nucleotide ribosomal RNA is filed under the name uncultured Neocallimastigales. Its description in RNAcentral is "partial large subunit ribosomal RNA". It matches the Rfam family "Eukaryotic large subunit ribosomal RNA", at positions 23 to 633 of the family's 3401-position model. Lineage: Eukaryota; Fungi; Neocallimastigomycota; Neocallimastigomycetes; Neocallimastigales. The record is from RNAcentral.
CAGAGAGAGACAUGCGCGCAUAUCAAUAAGCGGAGGAAAAGAAACUAACAAGGAUUCCCCUAGUAACGGCGAGUGAAGCGGGAAGAGCUCAAAUUUGAAAUCUUAAAGGGUUUCCCUUUACGAAUUGUAGUUUAAAGAAGUGUUUUCUGUUGAGGUUUUGGUAAAAGUUCUUUGAAAUAGGACAUCAUAGAGGGUGAGAAUCCCGUAUUUGACCUUUACUUUCAACUUUGUGAUACACUUUCAAAGAGUCGGAUUGUUUGGGAAUGCAGUCCAAAAUGGGUGGUAAAUUUCAUCUAAAGCUAAAUAUUGGCGAGAGACCGAUAGCGAACAAGUACCGUGAGGGAAAGAUGAAAAGAACUUUGAAAAGAGAGUUAAACAGUACGUGAAAUUGUCAAAAGGGAAGCGUUUGACACCAGUGUUGUUUUUCUGAAAAUCAAUUAAAGAACUGUUUAUGCUAAGCUGUUUAGACUUUAUCAGCUAUACUGUUUAGUUUUGAGCUUUUCUUUAAUGCACUUUUCAGUUAACAAGUCAACAUCAAUUUCUUUUGCUGUAAAAAAGCUUGAGGAAGGUGGCUUGAGAUUCGUCUUAAGUGUUUAUAGCCUCUUGCCUAUGCAGUCGGAGAGAUUGAGGUCUGCAGCGUAGAUCCUUCGGGGCUAAAUGCAUUUGUGCUAAGUUAUAGCAUUUUAUAGACAACUUGUUGACUAUGAUUUGUCUUGUAGCUUACUCGCUUAUGUUAUUUUACCUACGCUUAGGAUGUUGAAGACUCUACAGAGAUA